AGCUUUCUGUAUUCGUCCCGAAACUUCAUCUGACACUAACCCAUCUGGGGUGAUGAGUCUUACAAGAUAAGUGAAGUG
Non-coding RNA from Schistosoma mansoni, 78 nucleotides. NCBI's taxonomy places the organism in Eukaryota, Metazoa, Platyhelminthes, Trematoda, Strigeidida, Schistosomatidae. The record is from Rfam.